UACGUAGGUGGCGAGCGUUGUCCGGAAUUACUGGGCGUAAAGGGCGCGUAGGCGGCCUGUCAAGUCAGAUGUGAAAUCCCCGGGCUUAACCCGGGAACUGCAUUUGAAACUGGCGGGCUUGAGGGCAGGAGAGGAAAGCGGAACUCCCAGUGUAGCGGUGAAAUGCGUAGAUAUUGGGAGGAACACCAGUGGCGAAGGCGGCUUUCUGGACUGUCACUGACGCUGAGGCGCGAAAGCCAGGGGAGCGAACGGGAUUAGAUACC
Molecule: ribosomal RNA, 263 nt
Filed under: uncultured bacterium
Lineage: Bacteria
Description: partial 16S ribosomal RNA
Rfam family: Bacterial small subunit ribosomal RNA
Source: RNAcentral